GCUAACGUCGGUACGGCAGCGGCUGUAAGACGGAGGAGGCAAGCGUUAUCCGGAGUGAGUGGGUUUAAAGGGAGCGUAGGCGGACUUAUACGUCAGUGGUGAAAUCUCUGGGCUUAACCCAGAAACUGCCAUUGAUACUGUAAGUCUUGAGUACAGUUGCCGUUGGCGGAAUAUGACAUGUAGUGGUGAAAUACUUAGAUAUGUCAUAGAACACCGAUUGCGAAGGCAGCUAACGAAGCUGUAACUGACGCUGAGGCUCGAAAGUGCGGGGAUCAAACAGGAUUAGAUACCCGUGUAGUC
This 300-nucleotide ribosomal RNA is filed under the name uncultured Lactobacillus sp. RNAcentral describes it as "bacterial SSU rRNA". It matches the Rfam family "Bacterial small subunit ribosomal RNA", at positions 496 to 795 of the family's 1533-position model. The record is from RNAcentral. Lineage: Bacteria; Bacillati; Bacillota; Bacilli; Lactobacillales; Lactobacillaceae.